This 24-nucleotide non-coding RNA is filed under the name Cricetulus griseus (Chinese hamster). The record is from RNAcentral. Lineage: Eukaryota; Metazoa; Chordata; Mammalia; Rodentia; Cricetidae.
UAGAAGGAAAAAGAGGGUUGGAUU